Misgurnus anguillicaudatus (oriental weatherfish) is the source of this 4070-nucleotide non-coding RNA. NCBI's taxonomy places the organism in Eukaryota, Metazoa, Chordata, Actinopteri, Cypriniformes, Cobitidae. The record is from RefSeq and is a predicted model, not a curated record.
GUGUUAACACGUAUUUUUAUGGCGCUCGCUUUGUGUCAUUUCUUUCCAAACCAAGCUUAAAGACGUGUUAACGUGCGCGUGACAUGCGCGUAAAGAACGUGCGUCUGUUAUACGCGUGGAGAACGUGCGUUUGUCUUAACGUCAUACUUAUCGUGUCUAAUUUCAAAAUAGUGCACAUAAACUGUUAUACAGUUACUUGUAUGAAGGGCUUGUGUUAUUUAGGACACCAUUCAAACAGUGAUGGCUGUAAAAUCCGAUCAUUUAAGAUAUUUUCAAAUUAGAUAAGUAAUUUCAACAGCAGAUAGAAAUAUCACAUAAAUAGCUAUUUAAAAUAGACUUUUAAAGUAAAUAUUUAACAUCCUUGAGAAAAAUCAAGGCAAUAUACUUUGAUCAAAAAGGUAAUCUCACAACAAAUGCAUGCAUUGGGACAGGAAAUAUACUAAAAUGAAUAAUAAAAUAAACUAGACUAGGCCGGGCAUCCUUAUGCUCUGUGUAUCUGUUAUAAAAAUGAAAUCCUAGCAAGCUCAUAUAAACUUGUAAAUCCCAAAAUUAAAGGAACCCAAACAUAUAUAAAACUAAAUAAAAAAUAAGACCGCCAGUAGGUGGCGGCAAGGCAUUGUUAUAUUUUGGCAAAUGUUCCACUUCUUUCAAAAGGACAUAUGAUUUUCUAAUACAAUUUUAAAGAUGAAAACUACUUACUACAGGAACAUAAUUGUAAAUAUUUUUUUAAAUCCUCAAAAAAAAAUUCUCAGUUUGCAGAUUUUCAUUAUAUUUAAAAAUUAUUUUCCAAAUUCAAUCACACAGAAUUGAAACAUGUGAAUUUAAAGUUGCUGCAUUAUAAAUUGCAAUCUAGGUAAUUAUAUGCGCUGUUGUUGGUUCAUAUGGCAUGUUAUAUUUUAAUGUUUUAAUGACAUAAUCUUGGCUGUAAAUGAUCUAUAACACAAUGUUAUCCUGUUAAUGUCAAUGUCCUGUAGAAAAUAAUGAUUUUACACCAAUAGCUUUGACUUCAAUAGUCAUGAAAUGUCUUGAGAAAUACAUGGUUUGUCUUUUAAAAACUCAGGUAGGCCACAAACUUGAUUCCUGGCAGUUUGCCUACAAAUGCCAGAGAAGCACAGGCGAUGCCAUAAGUAGCAUCACCCACCUGGUCCUUGAGGACACUAAGGCCUAUGCACGUCUUUUCUUUAUUGACUUUAGUUCAGCGUUCAAUACAAUACAGCCCUAUUUACUGUUAGAAAGUCUGAAGAAUAUGUGUGUUAGCCCCUUUAUUAUUAGAUGGUACUAUUCUUUCUUAACAAAUAGGAUGUAGUAUGUUAGAGUCAAUAAAGAAGUUUCACAACUAAAGCCUAUAAGCACAGGGGCCCCUCGGGGGUGUGUGAGUUCCCCAGUCCUCUUUACCAUCUACACAAAUGACUGCGUGAGUAAACACCCACACAAUUAUAUUGUUAAAUUUUCAGAUGACACUGCCAUCUUGGGCUUAUUAUAUAGGGAUCAAGACACAGCAUCCUAUCACUCCAAAAUUAAGCAGUUUGUAGAUUGGUGUGACGCUCACCAUCUAGUUGUGAAUGUGAAAAAGACUGAGGAAAUGAUCUUUGACCCUAGAGCAGUUUCUGAAUCAAGUUUAGUGAGUAUCCACAGCACUCCCAUACGUCAGGUCUCUUCAUAUACGUCAGGUCUCUUCUUAUAAAUAUCUUUGUGUUUUUAUGGACUGCUCACUUACAUGGCAUGUUCAUAUAGAAAGUCUUUGUUCUAAGCUCCGGCAGAGGAUGUAUUUUUUUAGAAGAUUGAGACUGUAUGGUGUCGUUAGCGGGCUCUUGUUCUUAUUUUUCCAUAUAAUCUUAGAGAAUGUUAUACAGUAUGGCAUGCAGACCUAGUAUGGCAAUUUGAAAGUUCAGUUAAAGUCCAGGUUGGGGCGUCUGGUUAAAACUGCACUAAAGAUUGUAGGUCAUUCAGACCAGGGCUACAUGCAGGCACUCUAUAAAAAGUCAGUUCUCAGGGAGGCACGGAAAAUUUUAGAUAACCCCACACACAUCUUGUAUAAGGAGUUUGUCCUCCUAUACCUUCAGGUAGACGUUUCAGAGUACCAAAAUGCAAAUUAAAUGCAUAUAAAAACUCUUUUAUUCCAACUGCCAUAAAGAUGAUUAAUGAUAAAUAGCCGGUUGUUUGUACGUUACCCACACUGUAAAUGCAAACAUGGUACUUACUUAAAAAUAGUAAAUUGACCUUAAUCAGUUUUUAUCAACCUGCUUUUAACACUUGCUUUUAGUGAGUUACUUGUACUUUGAGGUUGAAAAAUCUUACCAGCUCAGUCUACGUGAGCUGGAUUAAUAUAGAAAAAGUAAGUUUAUGACAUGUGGACAUGCGCAGAUCAGUCCUCUCUGACAUGCCUAAACCCAACCAAUCAAGGUGCUUCGUGGGGCGGGUCUUGGAUUUGCGGGAAUCGUAAUUUUGCAGACGGUCGUUAUGUCACCUCACCACAUGCUGCAACUGACCAGGUGGAGCUGGACCUAAACAUCGCUUCUACGGCACUUGUGAUUAUCUUCAGCCGAUAUUAUUUUGCUUGGCACACUCAUUUGGCUCAAGCAGAAUGGUAAUCAAUCCUCCUCACGUUCCAUAAUCCCAGCAAUAAAAGAUACUGUGGACAGUCCAUCAUACCCAGGACUACAGUAUCCUAGAUGCCAACCACAUAAUGGAAGAAAUGAAGAAAAAACAACCAAAUGUGGCACUCUCAUUUCACAAAUGAUGGACCAAUCAUUCCCACUAUGCAGACAAGAAAUUGUAAAAAACAAGGGCCUGCUGUACAGAACAUGGUUAAACGAUGGCCAGCACUUUUCAAAGAGAGACAGGUGUUUGCUGAGUUUAAUAGAAUCGCCAGUAAGAAUCUUGAGGGAGACUUGAGGCUUUGGACCAGUAUUCCCCACGUUUCAUCAAACUUUUUAAAACCAAAAGAGAAACUCAAGGACUGAGUUGGCCAGAAACUCAAGGAGCUGAUGCAGCACAUGAACUGGCUGACACCAGACGUGACAGUACUUCGCUCAUUUGUCCUCAAAGGCAUGACGACUCCAGUGAAUUCUACAAGACCUGCUCUGAUGCAGCGAGAGACAAGGCUCUAGAACGCAUCACUGUUGGUGUCCUGACGGUUGUCAGUGAAGAUAGUCCUCACGAAGCUUAGUGGUCCUCCAGCCCAUCUCCACUGCCAUCAUUCUGGAGGGAGGUAUUGUUAUGGAUAAUGUUAAGAACUUGCCUCAAGUCUUUUGUUUGGGCUUACAUAUGCAUUGCAUUUGGAUUACCCAAAAUGCAUGGCAAAUACACUCAACUUCAUUCAGACUCGACUCUGAUGCUUGGACUGGGAAAGAAAAACCUCCCACCAAAACGGUUGACUCUGAAGAACAGUCUUCUGGGUUAGAACAAUAAAGAGCUGUCAGAUAGCACUUUGUAGCUAUUAAUGUUUUCAUGCAACUGUAUUUGCUUCUGAUCUUAAUAAAAAAAGAAAUUCUAUUAAAGUCUGUAAUGUUAUGCAGGUAUGCUAAUGUUGGAAACAGAGCCACCAUGUUUUAUUAAGAGUUGUUUAUUAAGUGUUAGUAUUAGAUAAUAAUGUCAGAAAAUAACCUACCGCGGUUGUACUGUUAACAUUUGUGUUUUAGGAAAGCUUUUUAUAGUUGUAAUGUAGUACAAAUACAAACCCCAAGGAGUGAUGUUUUUGUUUGUGUUGCUUUAAUCCUUUCACUGCUCACUUUGGGACACAAAAGCAUUUGUUGUACUUUCAGUUUAAAAUGCAAUUUUUAACUGAAUACAAUUUUUUAAUGUAAAAAAAGUUAAAUUUUAACUGUCUGCAUUUAAAUAAACCACAACUUUGUUUAGCUGCUGUUAUGUACGUGAAUGUGCAUUGAAUAAAUGAUGUAAUGUAGCUGAAUCAAGUGAGUGUUCUUUUAAAUUACAUGUUUGUGAUGUGUUUAUUAGAUCGUAACAACAAAACAAGGACGGAUUAAAGGAAAUUGGUUUCUUUGAGUAAGCAGAACUAAAAAUAUUAAGUUGUAGGUAUUCAGUAAUUCUAAGUGGGGUUUAAAUGAAAA